This 676-nucleotide ribosomal RNA is filed under the name Citrobacter freundii. RNAcentral describes it as "bacterial SSU rRNA". It matches the Rfam family "Bacterial small subunit ribosomal RNA", at positions 827 to 1503 of the family's 1533-position model. The record is from RNAcentral. Lineage: Bacteria; Pseudomonadati; Pseudomonadota; Gammaproteobacteria; Enterobacterales; Enterobacteriaceae.
CCCCUUGGAGGCGUGGCUUCCGGAGCUAACGCGUUAAGUCGACCGCCUGGGGAGUACGGCCGCAAGGUUAAAACUCAAAUGAAUUGACGGGGGCCCGCACAAGCGGUGGAGCAUGUGGUUUAAUUCGAUGCAACGCGAAGAACCUUACCUACUCUUGACAUCCAGAGAACUUAGCAGAGAUGCUUUGGUGCCUUCGGGAACUCUGAGACAGGUGCUGCAUGGCUGUCGUCAGCUCGUGUUGUGAAAUGUUGGGUUAAGUCCCGCAACGAGCGCAACCCUUAUCCUUUGUUGCCAGCGAUUCGGUCGGGAACUCAAAGGAGACUGCCAGUGAUAAACUGGAGGAAGGUGGGGAUGACGUCAAGUCAUCAUGGCCCUUACGAGUAGGGCUACACACGUGCUACAAUGGCAUAUACAAAGAGAAGCGACCUCGCGAGAGCAAGCGGACCUCAUAAAGUAUGUCGUAGUCCGGAUUGGAGUCUGCAACUCGACUCCAUGAAGUCGGAAUCGCUAGUAAUCGUGGAUCAGAAUGCCACGGUGAAUACGUUCCCGGGCCUUGUACACACCGCCCGUCACACCAUGGGAGUGGGUUGCAAAAGAAGUAGGUAGCUUAACCUUCGGGAGGGCGCUUACCACUUUGUGAUUCAUGACUGGGGUGAAGUCGUAACAAGGUAACCGG